Long non-coding RNA from Pezoporus flaviventris, 364 nucleotides. RefSeq lists it as uncharacterized. The record is from RefSeq and is a predicted model, not a curated record. The transcript is spliced from 3 exons. NCBI's taxonomy places the organism in Eukaryota, Metazoa, Chordata, Aves, Psittaciformes, Psittacidae.
CUUACCUUGAGUAUACAAGAUCCAAGGAGAGAAGAUCACUGGCUCAAAACAGUGGAGGACUGAGAAAGUGCUCUGAUCUGCUGCUAGUAGCAUGCACUUGGCUUUUAUGUGCAGGUGGGAGGAGCUGCUCCUUACGUGUAACAAAAGACUUGCUGGAGGAUCUGCUUUCUUGUGCUUCCAACCUAUUUUGCCAUGAGUUUGCUGUUACAGAAUAUGAAAAGCCUGAGGUACUGCCCUUGAGAGGUGCUGAAAGCCCCUUGGACUUGAAGAAUAUCCUGAAUUUCCACUGUCUUCAGUAAGAAAAGAAAAUACUCAGCACCAGGUAGGAAGUAAAAGAGACCUGAUUUACUGUACAAAAAAUGAG